CCUGACCUCGAUUCAAGCGUGAUUACCCGCUGAACUUAAGCAUAUCACUAAGCGGAGGAA
This 60-nucleotide ribosomal RNA is filed under the name Gyrodactylus perccotti. Its description in RNAcentral is "partial 28S ribosomal RNA". It matches the Rfam family "Eukaryotic large subunit ribosomal RNA", at positions 1 to 58 of the family's 3401-position model. The record is from RNAcentral. Lineage: Eukaryota; Metazoa; Platyhelminthes; Monogenea; Gyrodactylidea; Gyrodactylidae.